GAGACUAGCCUGGGGUAAAGGAAUCAGAGAAGACAGUGAAAAAAUCAGAGAAAGACCAUGGGACAUGAGUUUGGAAAGAAAUGGAGGCAAGAAAGCCUGUCAUUUGCAAUGUCACAGAAGAGUCAAAUCAAACCCUGUGAAGAAAGCAAAAAUGAGAUGGAUUUACCCAAGGUUAUCUCCCUGAUACCGCCAGCCCAGUUAGAUCCAAAUUUCCAAUGAUGACUCUGAAGCAUAAGAUCAUGUAAUCUGAAAUACAAGGACAUAUAACACAAAUAAUGAAAUAUUUUAACAAUGAAGACACCAAGUGAAUUAAACAUUCCUGAUUUACAGGACUGUUAGAAUUAUUCAAGAGACCUCCUGGAUGCAAUCUGUUAUGGUAAGUACCAUGAUUAUGCUUUCCAAUGCUCUGGGCAGAAUUUAAAAUGCAAGCGAUCAUAUCAGCAUGGCAGAUCAAUUUUUCUACUAGCUGAAGCCCCAGCACUU
Ceratotherium simum simum (southern white rhinoceros) is the source of this 483-nucleotide non-coding RNA. Lineage: Eukaryota; Metazoa; Chordata; Mammalia; Perissodactyla; Rhinocerotidae. The record is from RefSeq and is a predicted model, not a curated record.